Molecule: long non-coding RNA, 328 nt
Filed under: Homo sapiens (human)
Lineage: Eukaryota; Metazoa; Chordata; Mammalia; Primates; Hominidae
Description: non-protein coding lnc-PROC-1:3
Source: RNAcentral
CAGCCUGUGCUGUUCCGUGUGCGCGGCGCAUACGCACCUGGGUUGUCUCGAGCCUGCGGUAGUGGCCAGAUCCCAGACAUCCGAGUAGAUCCCGUGAAAAGCUUCUUCUUGGUUUCUUCGUACAUUCUGGAUCCACCCCUUUCAUGCAUAUUCCAGACCACAUUUCCACUGGAGCAGUUGAAAUGAGAGAGAUGGGAAUGGGACUCACCCGAACCAGAGGAAUUUUUAUUACAGACCCAUUAACAGAGGUGUCAAAGUCACAGGAACAAGGAUGUGCACCUCAGAAACACAGAGAAAGACCUUAAAUGCUCUGGGGGAUACGGACUGA